CAGCCGCCGCGGUAAUACGUAGGUGGCAAGCGUUGUCCGGAAUUAUUGGGCGUAGAGGGCUCGCAGGCGGUUUCUUAAGUCUGAUGUGAAAGCCCCUGGCUCAACCGGGGAGGGUCAUUGGAAACUGGGAAACUUGAGUGCAGAAGAGGAGAGUGGAAUUCCACGUGUAGCGGUGAAAUGCGUAGAGAUGUGGAGGAACACCAGUGGCGAAGGCGACUCUCUGGUCUGUAACUGACGCUGAGGAGCGAAAGCGUGGGGAGCGAACAGGAUUAGAUACCCCCGUAGUCCCUGUCUCUUAUAC
Molecule: ribosomal RNA, 301 nt
Filed under: uncultured bacterium
Lineage: Bacteria
Description: partial 16S ribosomal RNA
Rfam family: Bacterial small subunit ribosomal RNA
Source: RNAcentral